UAUGGAUUGAAUUUAUAAUAGACUGAAGUGUUUUGUAGUUUUAUCAACUCUUUUGAUUUAAUUUGUCUUCGUCAAUUUUGUUCUCUUUCAAUCAACAAUACCUCUUUAUUAUUUUGAAAAAAAUAAAGGGGGUAAUGUAUAACAUUCUCUGAGCUUGUUUUUAAAGAAACAUAAGAUUGUGGCGUAUAAUACCUUAGACUCAUUAACAUUCUCUGAGCUUGUUUUUAAAGAAACAUAAGAUUAUGGCGUAUAAUACCUUAGGCUCAUUAACAAAAA
This 276-nucleotide long non-coding RNA is filed under the name Lathyrus oleraceus (garden pea). RNAcentral's name for it is "Pisum sativum (pea) long non-coding RNA (PSAT_LNC036252)". Lineage: Eukaryota; Viridiplantae; Streptophyta; Magnoliopsida; Fabales; Fabaceae. The record is from RNAcentral.